Molecule: ribosomal RNA, 2173 nt
Filed under: Peripatopsis lawrencei
Lineage: Eukaryota; Metazoa; Onychophora; Udeonychophora; Euonychophora; Peripatopsidae
Description: SSU rRNA
Rfam family: Eukaryotic small subunit ribosomal RNA
Source: RNAcentral
UCGCUUGUCUCAAAGAUUAAGCCAUGCACGUCUAAGUACUCGCCUUGUCUAUAAAGUGAAACCGCGAAUGGCUCAUUAAAUCAGUUAUGGUUCACUAGACAGUACCUCAUCCUACUCGGAUAACUGUGGUAAUUCUAGAGCUAAUACAUGCAACUAGGCCCCGCCCGGCGUGCCGCCUUGUGCGUCGCGUCGGAAAGGGCGCCAUUAUCAGCCCAAAACCGACCGGGUCGCUUCCCCCGCCCUUUCAACGGGGCGGGAAGCUCCCGUCCUUAUUCCCUUUGACGACUCUGGAUAACCUGUCAGCGGAUCGCUGGGUAACUAGGUCACCGGGGGUUCACUCUCCCGGCCGAUCUACAGCGACCAGUCUUUCAAAUGUCUGCCUUAUCAACUGUCGACGGUAGGUCAGAUGCCUACCGUGGUCGUAACGGGUGACGGGGAAUCAGGGUUCGAUUCCGGAGAGGGAGCCUGAGAAACGGCUACCACAUCCAAGGAAGGCAGCAGGCACGCAAAUUACCCAAUCCCAGCACUGGGAGGUAGUGACGAAAAAUAACGAUACGGGACUCUUAACGAGGCCUCGUAAUCGGAAUGAGUCCGCUCUAAAUCCUUUAACGAGGAUCUAUCGGAGGGCAAGUCUGGUGCCAGCAGCCGCGGUAAUUCCAGCUCCGAUAGCGUAUAUUAAAGUUGCUGCGGUUAAAAAGCUCGUAGUUGGAUUUGGGUUUUCGGGCCGGCGGGCCGCCGCCUUCGAGCGGCGCGUUUCCCGCCGCGCCCCCGGAACCGCACGGUCGCAGAGGCCCCCGCGGUGCUCUUGAGUGAGUGUCCGCGGUCUCGGGUCGCCGAACGUUUACUUUGAAAAAAUUAGAGUGCUCCAGGCAGGCCGGAUAAAGCGUUUUUAAACCCGCGCCUGAAUAGUCACGCAUGGAAUAAUGAAAGAGGACCGGUGGUCCUAUUUUGUUGGUUUUAAGGAUUUUCCGCCGUCAUGAUUAAGAGGGACGGCCGGGGGCAUUCGUACCGCGGCGCGAGAGGUGAAAUUCUAGGACCGUCGCGAGACGAACCGUUGCGAAAGCAUUUGCCAAGAAUGUUUUCCUUAAUCAAGAACGAAAGUCAGAGGUUCGAAGGCGAUCAGAUACCGCCCUAGUUCUGACCGUAAACGAUGCCACCUGACGAUCCGCCAGGGUUACUACCAUGACUCGGCGGGCAGUCCCCGGGAAACCCAAGCCUUCGGGUUCCGGGGGAAGUAUGGUUGCAAAGCUGAAACUUAAAGGAAUUGACGGAAGGGCACCACCAGGAGUGGAGCCUGCGGCUUAAUUUGACUCAACACGGGGAACCUCACCCGGCCCGGACACCGCGAGGAUUGACAGAUUGAGAGCUCUUUCUCGAUUCGGUGGGUGGUGGUGCAUGGCCGUUCUUAGUUGGUGGAGCGAUUUGUCUGGUUAAUUCCGAUAACGAACGAGACUCUAGCCGGUUAAGUAGCCCGAGCGGUUUUUGAUCUUUGCCGUUCAUCCCCGUUCGACCUUUGCGUCGUCCCCCUUUUUUCGUUUUCGGGCUCCGUCUCUGUCCGUUUUUUUCCGUUUCUCUUCCGUUUCCUGGCGAUCGUCCGUCGUCCCGUGUUCGAUUCGUUGGACACGGGUGCCGACGGCGGUCGUUUGGGUUUCGAAGGGGGCGGAGGCGGCUGAACGGAUCCCGUGGCAAGGAGGGGGGUAUACGCUCGGUCGUUUCGCGGGGUGAAAGCAUAACCGAAGGCCGCCGGCUUUUAAGGAAGCUUCUUAGAGGGACGAGCGGCGUUCAGCCGCCCGAGAUUGAGCGAUAACAGGUCUGUGAUGCCCUUAGAUGUCCGGGGCCGCACGCGCGCUACACUGAAGGGUUCAGCGUGCUAGUUUCUCCCGGGCCGUCAGGCUCGGGGAACCCGUUGAAACCCUUUCGUGCUAGGGACAGGGACUUGCAAUUGUGUCCCUCCAACGAGGAAUUCCCAGUAAGCGCGAGUCAUCAGCUCGCGUUGAUUACGUCCCUGCCCUUUGUACACACCGCCCGUCGCUACUACCGAUUGAACGAUUUAGUGAGGUCUUCGGACCGGUGGUCGUUCCGCGAUCGGGUCAGGACUGGGUCUCGCGCCCUUUCCUCCCGCGCGGGGUCGGCCGGCCGGGAAGAUGCCCGAACUUGAUCGUUUAGAGGAAGA